GAGACUCUGUGCGCGUGCAUAUCAAUAAGCGGAGGAAAAGAAACUAACUAAGGAUUCCCUUAGUAACUGACGAGUGAAGCGGGAAGAGCUCAAAUUUGAAAUCUUCAAGGUUCUACCUUGACGAAUUGUAGUUUAUAGAAGUGUUUUCUGUUAGUAAGUUGGCUAAAAGUUCUUUGGAAUAGGACAUCAUAGAGGGUGAGAAUCCCGUAUUUGUACCAUUCUUUUCUAGCUGUGUGAUACACUUUCAACGAGUCGGAUUGUUUGGGAAUGCAGUCCAAAAUGGGUGGUGAAUUUCAUCUAAAGCUAAAUAUUGGCGAGAGACCGAUAGCGAACAAGUACCGUGAGGGAAAGAUGAAAAGAACUUUGAAAAGAGAGUUAAACAGUACGUGAAAUUGUCAAAAGGGAAGCGUUUGACACCAGUGUUGUUUUCUCGAAAAUCAAUUAAAAAUGGCCGGAUUUUGUGUUGUAUUGACUUUAUCAGCUUUCUGCACUUUUUUCCUAUCUUUUUUAAUGCACUUUUCGUUUAACAAGUCAACAUCAAUUUCUUUUGCUGUAAAAGAGUCAUUGGAAGGUGGCUUUCUUUUCGGAGAAAGUGUUUAUAGCCUUUGACUUCUGCAGUCGGAGAGAUUGAGGUCUGCAGCGUAGAUCCUUCGGGGUUAGAUACAUUUGUGCUAAGCUAUAGCCUUUCAUAGACAACUUGUUGACUAUGAUCAGUCAUGUAGCUUACUCGCUUAUGCUAUUUUACCUACGCUUAGGAUGUUGAAGUCAUCGUAUCGCGC
Molecule: ribosomal RNA, 779 nt
Filed under: uncultured Neocallimastigales
Lineage: Eukaryota; Fungi; Neocallimastigomycota; Neocallimastigomycetes; Neocallimastigales
Description: partial large subunit ribosomal RNA
Rfam family: Eukaryotic large subunit ribosomal RNA
Source: RNAcentral